Molecule: transfer RNA, 78 nt
Filed under: Daedalea quercina L-15889
Lineage: Eukaryota; Fungi; Basidiomycota; Agaricomycetes; Polyporales; Fomitopsidaceae
Rfam family: tRNA
About the family: Transfer RNA (tRNA) molecules are approximately 80 nucleotides in length. Their secondary structure includes four short double-helical elements and three loops (D, anti-codon, and T loops). Further hydrogen bonds mediate the characteristic L-shaped molecular structure. tRNAs have two regions of fundamental functional importance: the anti-codon, which is responsible for specific mRNA codon recognition, and the 3' end, to which the tRNAs corresponding amino acid is attached (by aminoacyl-tRNA synthetases). tRNAs cope with the degeneracy of the genetic code in two manners: having more than one tRNA (with a specific anti-codon) for a particular amino acid; and 'wobble' base-pairing, i.e. permitting non-standard base-pairing at the 3rd anti-codon position.
Source: Rfam by way of RNAcentral
GGCCGCCUGGCGAAAUGGCAUCGCGUCUGACUACGAUAUGUAAUCAGGAGAUUGCAGGUUCGACCCCUGCGGUGGUCA